CCACUUAGUUUUUUUAUAAAGAAAUAAUAUUUAUUUUUUAAAAUAUAAUUAAUUACUAAAAUAUAAUAUUUACCAAAGUUAUGGCCCUUGAACGCUGUUAGGGAUGUGUUAGGAUAUUUAUCAAUUAAGAUAAGGAACAUAACAAAAUAAAGCAUGAUGAUUCAAUAGAAUUAACUAAAAUAUUAUUUUUUUAUCACUAAUAAGCAUUAUAAAGAAACUAAAAAACUGAGGAAGCAUUUUUAAGAGUGAGAAUCAACCAAAUAUUGGAAAACUAUUUCUGCAACCAACAGAUGAUGUAAAUUCAGAUAUGACUAUAAAGCGGAUACUAAAUUCAUAAGCUAUAUUUGUUUGAAAUAUAUAUGGACAUGUAUUAGAUUCAGACACAUAUAAGUUCAAAUUUAAAUCAACUUCAAGUCUUCGAGAGAGUUAUACAUGUAAAUAUUACAAGCAUCAAAUUCAUUACCGAUCAUAUUUCACAGUAACUGCUAGUUCCAAUAUGAUGGUGCCAAUUUAGAACAUAACAUAUAGAAUAUAUUAUGGUUUAUGUAGUUAUAUAUUUGAAAAAUAUACAAGUAAACUUAAAGGCUGUUAGGGAGUCACUAGAGUGCUAAAGUUAUGGCCCACAUCUAAACGCAUAUGGCUUGUAAUUUACGCAAAUUUGGGCGCUUGUAGUCAGUUGCAUCUUUUAUUAUUGAAUCAUUGAUAGAAAACCAAAGUUCAAGCAGUUUUAAAAUUCAAGUCCACGAUGUUUAUUGAAUCAUUAACAACAUACUCCAAAAUUGGCCCUUUGGGAAUCCAAUUGGAUAUCUUUUAUAGAGGUUUAUACCAUGGACUGUCAUAUCACCCAACACAUUAGGAAAGAGACAAUACAUACCAGUUCAAGAGCUAGCCUAGACGCGAACCAACCCAAAAUGGAAGAAACAUAACGUGUAUUCCUCAUAUAUCAACUGAUACUGUUGAAAUUUAACAAUCAGAUUAACAUGACCCUCCAAUGGGAUUGUUUUAGUCUUUUGAAAGCACCUACAUCCCCCCCCCCACCCCCCCCCCCCCUCUUCCAUGCACUCCAACUCACUCUCAUCCUUGCUUUCUUUCUCAUUCUUAUUAAACUUGUUUAAUCUCUAAUUGACAAUUAGUGAACAUAAACCUCUUGAUUUGGAUAAAAGAGGGACUUGAACCCAAAGUCUGCAAUUUGUCUCCUAAUGAAAUUUAGCUUUAUCAUGUCAUGUUAUUAGCAUAAAGAAUAUUGGUAACUCAAGAUUGAUUACUGACUAAUGAUUAACUAAGACUCAAUUACGAAGAAUUAGCUUAGAUUGACCAUGUAUUUACAUGAUAUACAAGCUUAUUGGAUAAAGUCUUAUUAAUGCAUGUCUAAGUACCAAAUUUAAUUUCAAUACCAAUAAAUUGAAUUAGCAUAAAAAACCUAAAGUAUGGUUUUUUUUUCCAAAUUUUGAUGUAUUUAAUUUCAAUACCAAUAAAUGGAAUCCAAUUGGAUAUAUUUUAUAGAGGUUUAUACCAUGGACUGUCAUAUCACCCAACACAUUAGGAAAGAGGCAAUACAUACCAGUUCAAGAGCUAGCCUAGAGGCGAACCAACCCAAAAUGGAAGAAACAUAACGUGUAUUCCUCAUAUAUCAACCGAUACUGUUGAAAUUUAACAAUCAGAUUAACACGACCCUCCAAUGGUCAGAUUGACCAAUGGGAUUGUUUUAGUCUUAUGGAAGCACCUA
RNAcentral lists this long non-coding RNA (1726 nucleotides) under Musa acuminata (dwarf banana). Its description in RNAcentral is "long non-coding RNA (MACU_LNC004128)". The record is from RNAcentral. Lineage: Eukaryota; Viridiplantae; Streptophyta; Magnoliopsida; Zingiberales; Musaceae.